This 68-nucleotide transfer RNA is filed under the name Leptopeza flavipes. RNAcentral describes it as "tRNA-Ile". RNAcentral also lists the same sequence under 1 other name. The record is from RNAcentral. Lineage: Eukaryota; Metazoa; Arthropoda; Insecta; Diptera; Hybotidae.
AAUGAAUUGCCUGAUAAAAGGAUUACUUUGAUAGAGUAAAUCAUGAAAUUUAAUAAUUUUAUUCAUUA